RNAcentral lists this ribosomal RNA (436 nucleotides) under Streptomyces flavovirens. Its description in RNAcentral is "bacterial SSU rRNA". It matches the Rfam family "Bacterial small subunit ribosomal RNA", at positions 547 to 980 of the family's 1533-position model. Lineage: Bacteria; Bacillati; Actinomycetota; Actinomycetes; Kitasatosporales; Streptomycetaceae. The record is from RNAcentral.
GGAAUUAUUGGGCGUAAAGAGCUCGUAGGCGGCUUGUCACGUCGGAUGUGAAAGCCCGGGGCUUAACCCCGGGUCUGCAUUCGAUACGGGCUAGCUAGAGUGUGGUAGGGGAGAUCGGAAUUCCUGGUGUAGCGGUGAAAUGCGCAGAUAUCAGGAGGAACACCGGUGGCGAAGGCGGAUCUCUGGGCCAUUACUGACGCUGAGGAGCGAAAGCGUGGGGAGCGAACAGGAUUAGAUACCCUGGUAGUCCACGCCGUAAACGUUGGGAACUAGGUGUUGGCGACAUUCCACGUCGUCGGUGCCGCAGCUAACGCAUUAAGUUCCCCGCCUGGGGAGUACGGCCGCAAGGCUAAAACUCAAAGGAAUUGACGGGGGCCCGCACAAGCAGCGGAGCAUGUGGCUUAAUUCGACGCAACGCGAAGAACCUUACCAAGGC